This 506-nucleotide ribosomal RNA is filed under the name uncultured bacterium. RNAcentral's name for it is "partial 16S ribosomal RNA". It matches the Rfam family "Bacterial small subunit ribosomal RNA", at positions 29 to 523 of the family's 1533-position model. The record is from RNAcentral.
AGUGAACGCUGGCGGUAGGCCUAACACAUGCAAGUCGAACGGCAGCACAGAGGAGCUUGCUCCUUGGGUGGCGAGUGGCGGACGGGUGAGGAAUACAUCGGAAUCUACUCUGUCGUGGGGGAUAACGUAGGGAAACUUACGCUAAUACCGCAUACGACCUACGGGCGAAAGCAGGGGAUCUUCGGACCUUGCGCGAUUGAACGAGCCGAUGUCGGAUUAGCUAGUUGGCGGGGUAAAGGCCCACCAAGGCGACGAUCCGUAGCUGGUCUGAGAGGAUGAUCAGCCACACUGGAACUGAGACACGGUCCAGACUCCUACGGGAGGCAGCAGUGGGGAAUAUUGGACAAUGGGCGCAAGCCUGAUCCAGCCAUACCGCGUGGGUGAAGAAGGCCUUCGGGUUGUAAAGCCCUUUUGUUGGGAAAGAAAUCCAUCUGGUUAAUACCCGGGUGGGAUGACGGUACCCAAAGAAUAAGCACCGGCUAACUUCGUGCCAGCCGCCGCGGUAA